CCUACGGGAGGCAGCAGUGGGGAAUAUUGCACAAUGGGCGUAAGCCUGAUGCAGCGAAGCCGCGUGAGUGAAGAAGUAUUUCUGUAUUUAAAACUCUAUCAGCCGGGAAGCAAUGGCGACCUUUGGUUCGCCAGACGGUACCUGCCUAAGAAGCCGCGUCUAACUACUGCCCAGCAGCCGCCGUAAUACCUAGGGGGCAAGCGUUAUCCGGCUUUACUGGGUGUAAAGGGAGCGGAGACGGCAGCACAAGGCUGAAGUGAAAUGCCGGGGGUUAACCCCGGAACUGCUUUGGAAACUGUGCAGCUAGAGUGCAGGAGAGGUAAGUGGAAUGCCUGGUGUAGCGGUGAAAUGCGUAGAUAUUAGGAGGAACACCAGUGGCGAAGGCGGCUUACUGGACUGUAACUGACGUUGAGGCUCGAAAGCGUGGGGAGCAAACAGGAUUAGAUACCCGUGUAGUC
This 458-nucleotide ribosomal RNA is filed under the name uncultured bacterium. RNAcentral describes it as "partial 16S ribosomal RNA". It matches the Rfam family "Bacterial small subunit ribosomal RNA", at positions 338 to 795 of the family's 1533-position model. The record is from RNAcentral.